ACCUGCCCUAUGAAUAAAUUUUGGAAUGGCUGCCGUGUUUUUACCCUGCAAAGGUAGCAUAAUAAUUAGUUUCUUAAUUGGGAACUGAAAUGAAUGGUCGAACGAGAAAAAUACUGUCUCAAUUUAAUUUUAAUUAGAAUUUUAUUUUUAAGUAAAAAAGCUUAAAUAUUCUUAAAAAACGAGAAGACCCUAUAGAGUUUUAUAUUAAUUAUUAUAAUUGAAAGUUAAAGUAUUUAAGAUUUAGUUAUAAUAAUUAAUAUUUAACUGGGGCGAUAGAAAAAUUUAAUUAACUUUUUUUAAAAGUAUACCAUUAAUUUAUGAGUAAGUGAUAACCAUAUUUUAUGAUUGCAAGAUU
This 355-nucleotide ribosomal RNA is filed under the name Arachnodes sp. 1 HKW-2010. Its description in RNAcentral is "partial 16S ribosomal RNA". The record is from RNAcentral. Lineage: Eukaryota; Metazoa; Arthropoda; Insecta; Coleoptera; Scarabaeidae.